This 425-nucleotide ribosomal RNA is filed under the name uncultured bacterium. RNAcentral's name for it is "partial 16S ribosomal RNA". It matches the Rfam family "Bacterial small subunit ribosomal RNA", at positions 354 to 796 of the family's 1533-position model. The record is from RNAcentral.
GUUAGGAAUAUUGGACAAUGGGCGCAAGCCUGAUCCAGCCAUGCCGCGUGAGUGAUGAAGGCCUUCGGGUUGUAUAGCUCUUUAGUCCACGAAUAUAAUGACUGUAGUGGAAGAAUAAGCCCCGGCUAACUUCGUGCCAGCAGCCGCGGUAAUACGAAGGGGGCGAGCGUUAUUCGGAAUCACUGGGCGUAAAGCGUGCGUAGGCUGUUUUGUAAGUCAGAAGUGAAAGCCCAGGGCUUAACCCUGGAAUUGCUUUUGAAACUACAAGACUCGAAUUCGGGAGAGGAUAGCGGAAUUGUCAGUGUAGCAGUGAAAUGCGUAGAUAUUGACAGGAACACCAGUGGCGCAAGCGGCUAUCUGGACCGAUAUUGACGCUGAGGCACGAAAGCGUGGGGAGCAAACAGGAUUAGAUACCCGAGUAGUCC